AUGUGUUUUUGAUACGAAAACUUAUUCUAUCACGUAUGUGGUAAUUCGGCUCCAGUAAUCGACAUAAAUAAGUUUUAUAAGAAAUAAAAAUUUUCACGAGAAAAUCUGUUUGUUGUCAAUAAAUUGUGAAAUUAAAAUAAGAAUUUUGCAGAGUUCGUUUCAUAAUAGACUCAAGCCCCUAUUAAAAAAGACACUUUUCUGAAAAUUACUCUGAUACGACACAUGUUUUGUUGAUGACUAUAUAAUACUCUUAUUUGCUUCGCACUAGUCUUUAGAUGAAAACACUUCACUACUUCAAUCAGUAAUUGCCUUAUAUAGGGUACAUAUUACUUUCAAUUAUAACCUUUCUUUUUUAUUGAAAAAGCUAAGCGAGAGAAAAGAAGAUAAGAAGUUGAAAAAGAUUUAACAACAAAUUUUAUUCAAAUUAGCAAGCGAAUGAAUGUAUGGAAUGAUGAAAAAAGAUCAACAAAUACAAAACAAAAAGAUUUAACAAGGAAUUUAAAUUAAAGCAGCAAGCGAAUGGAUGGAAUGAAUGAAUGGAAUGAAAAAAGAUCAAGAACACAAAACAAAAAGGUUUAACAACAAAGUUUAAUCAAAGCAGCAAGCGAGUGUAUGGAUGGAAUGAUGAAAAAAGAUGAACAACAUAAAACAAAAAAAGAAACGAAAAAAGUAUAAACGAAGAACAAUUAAAAAGCAUUAAACAAAUUCAGUAAAGUAAGAAAGUACAAUAAAAAUAAACAUGGUAAACAGAAAGAAGUGAAAAAUUAAUAAAUAUUAUUAACUUUCUUAAAAUCAUGAGCACCUAGUAUUUUAUUAAAAAUUUGUGAUAUAUUUUAGUUGUUUAAGGUGCAUUGUAUUUGUGAUAAAAAUUAUAAAAAUAAAAACUACCUACUAAAAAUUAUG
Molecule: long non-coding RNA, 903 nt
Organism: Lucilia sericata (common green bottle fly)
Lineage: Eukaryota; Metazoa; Arthropoda; Insecta; Diptera; Calliphoridae
Exons: 4
Source: RefSeq, a predicted model, not a curated record